RNAcentral lists this ribosomal RNA (492 nucleotides) under uncultured bacterium. RNAcentral's name for it is "partial 16S ribosomal RNA". It matches the Rfam family "Bacterial small subunit ribosomal RNA", at positions 28 to 507 of the family's 1533-position model. The record is from RNAcentral.
GAUGAACGCUAGCUACAGGCUUAACACAUGCAAGUCGAGGGGAAACGACAUCGAAAGCUUGCUUUUGAUGGGCGUCGACCGGCGCACGGGUGAGUAACGCGUAUCCAACCUGCCCACCACUUGGGGAUAACCUUGCGAAAGUAAGACUAAUACCCAAUGUGAUCCCACGAAGUCAUCCGAAUGGGAUUAAAGAUUUAUCGGUGAUGGAUGGGGAUGCGUCUGAUUAGCUUGUUGGCGGGGUGACGGCCCACCAAGGCAACGAUCAGUAGGGGUUCUGAGAGGAAGGCACCCCGCAUUGGAACUGAGACACGGUCCAAACUCCUACGGGAGGCAGCAGUGAGGAAUAUUGGUCAAUGGGCGAGGGCCUGAACCAGCCAAGUAGCGUGCAGGAUGACGGCCCUAUGGGUUGUAAACUGCUUUUAUAAGGGAAUAAAGUGGGUCACGUGUGACUUUUUGCAUGUACCUUAUGAAUAAGGACCGGCUAAUUCCGUG